Molecule: long non-coding RNA, 217 nt
Filed under: Elaeis guineensis (African oil palm)
Lineage: Eukaryota; Viridiplantae; Streptophyta; Magnoliopsida; Arecales; Arecaceae
Description: long non-coding RNA (EGUI_LNC065081)
Source: RNAcentral
UUCUUGAUUCAUAUGGGCAAUUCAUCAUAAACUACUACAUGAAUAAAAUCGAUGCCACUUUGCCUGAGUUAUUGAUUAUGCUGGUAACAGUAGAGGGCACCUUGAAGAGUUCAAAGGGCAUAGUUCUAGCUAUGGAGUGGGCUUCCCUUAAAAGAAAAUCUUCUUUUAAGAAGAAGAAAAAGCUUGCGAAGAAGCAAAAGAAUGAGGUUAAGCCUAA